This 456-nucleotide ribosomal RNA is filed under the name uncultured bacterium. RNAcentral's name for it is "bacterial SSU rRNA". It matches the Rfam family "Bacterial small subunit ribosomal RNA", at positions 29 to 506 of the family's 1533-position model. The record is from RNAcentral.
GUGAACGCUGGCGGCGCGCCUAAUGCAUGCAAGUCGAGCGUGUAACUGGCUUCGGUCAGUGAAAGCGGCAGACGGCUGAGUAACGCGUGAGUAACCUGCCCUUCAGUGGGGAAUAGCCUCGGGAAACUGAGAUUAAUACCGCAUAAGACGAUUACGCCCUGGUGUAAUCGUGAAAGCUUUAGCGCUGAAGGAGUGGCUCGCGUCCUAUCAGGUAGUUGGCGGGGUAACGGCCCACCAAGCCGAUGACGGGUAACUGAUCUGAGAGGAUGGUCAGUCAGAGGGGGACUGAGACACGGCCCCCACUCCUACGGGAGGCAGCAGCAGGGAAUUUUGGGCAAUGGACGAAAGUCUGACCCAGCGACGCCGCGUGGAGGACGAAGGCCUUCGGGUCGUAAACUCCUUUUCCGUGGGAAGAGCAAGGACGGUACCACGGGAAUAAGCCCCGGCUAACUACGU